CUUCUGUUGUCUCAGAUGAAUGGCUGUGAGUUUCACCUGCCGUUACACCUUUGGGAAGUCAGACUGAAUUCUGUUUAUAGAGAGGAGUUCCCUCAUGCACAGAGCAAUGAAUGGGUAGCUGUGGACCAUUUCACGUCAACAGGGAACUGAAUUCUUUUAGCCAUUGAUUUGCCCAAGGAUGAAACCAGCAGGACUCAUUCCUUACAAAACAAUGUUUAGAGUCCUUUCGUGGUGCUGGAAUGCUUCUGCCAGUC
Molecule: non-coding RNA, 254 nt
Organism: Vicugna pacos (alpaca)
Lineage: Eukaryota; Metazoa; Chordata; Mammalia; Artiodactyla; Camelidae
Source: RefSeq, a predicted model, not a curated record